Molecule: ribosomal RNA, 604 nt
Filed under: Aphodius sp. APH01
Lineage: Eukaryota; Metazoa; Arthropoda; Insecta; Coleoptera; Scarabaeidae
Description: partial 12S ribosomal RNA
Source: RNAcentral
UUAUACAAAUGGUGCAAUUAACUUUUGUUGGUUUUAUAAUUAAUAGUUAUUUUUAGUGUAAAGUUAACUUUUUAGGGUGAAAUUUUAAAGUUAAAUUAAAUUAAAUAUUGGGGAGUAUGAGAUUUAUGAAAAUUUAAAAAAAUUAAACUAGGAUUAGAUACCCUAUUAUUAAAAAUGUAAAGUAAACUACCAAGGGAGUAGUAGUUAUGUUCUUGAAAUUUAAAAAAUUUGGCGGUAUUUUAGUCUUUUCAGAGGAACCUGUUCUAUAAUUGAUAAUCCACGUUUUAUUGUACUUAAUUUAAAAGUUUGUAUAUCGUCGUAGUUGAGUGUCUUAGAAGAGAGUAACAUUCAAAAUUUAUAAUUUAGAUAAAAAAAAUCAGAUCAAGGCGCAGUUUAUAGUUAAGAAGAAAUGGGUUACGAUAAUAAGUGUUUUAAGUAGUUAAGGUAAUUAAAAUUGUUUUUUAAAUUGGAUUUGAAAGUAAUAUAAUUAAAUUAAAUUAUAUGAUUUAAGCUCUAAAAUAUGCACAUAUCGCCCGUCAUUUCCAUUAUUUAUAUUAAAAUGGAACAAGUCGUAACAAAGUAGAUGUACUGGAAAGUGUUUCUA